Molecule: long non-coding RNA, 324 nt
Filed under: Oryza sativa Indica Group (long-grained rice)
Lineage: Eukaryota; Viridiplantae; Streptophyta; Magnoliopsida; Poales; Poaceae
Description: lncRNA OsMH63_07G028660
Source: RNAcentral
GCUCGAGUGUCAUUCCCCCUCCUGAGGGCGUUGUCGUGCCAUCUCACCCCUCAAGGAUGGUUAAAGGGCGAAAGCCCUGUCUUUGCUCUUUUUGAGAUCUUGACGGACGGCGGCGGCGGUUUUCCGUCGCUUCUCUCCUUGGAGAUGUCAUCUAAGCAUUCUCUUGCUGAAAACACGUGUGCAAUUGGGUGUUUUUUCGGCGAUCUCGUUUAUGUUCCGUUGUUGGCUCAGCGGCGGUCAAUCACGCUUAGCGACAGCCGGUCCGGUGCUAGCCUUCUUCCGGACCUGUGUGUUGGCGCCGUCGGUGUGUGGAUGGUGGUGUAA